This 228-nucleotide long non-coding RNA is filed under the name Pelobates cultripes (western spadefoot toad). Lineage: Eukaryota; Metazoa; Chordata; Amphibia; Anura; Pelobatidae. The record is from RNAcentral.
CAGAUGCAUCACCAAUCACAGUUUUACCUACAUCUCUCAAGUAGCCAUUGAACCAGAGUAGACCUUGUAAGCAUCUUAAAAACUCCGUCAACAUUCUUCAUCCUGAAUAUAUUCUCUUCGGGCUAGGGGAUCAUAUCUUCCAGACAGCCAUUACAUGAGCCGCUGUCUUUCUCUCUAUAGUACUCUCUAUAAUGCUACGUAGGGACCUUACCACUAGUGGAAUUAGAC